This 253-nucleotide ribosomal RNA is filed under the name uncultured bacterium. RNAcentral's name for it is "partial 16S ribosomal RNA". It matches the Rfam family "Bacterial small subunit ribosomal RNA", at positions 524 to 776 of the family's 1533-position model. The record is from RNAcentral.
UACGUACUGUGCGAACGUUAUUCGGAAUCACUGGGCUUAAAGGGUGCGUAGGCGGCCUGUUAAGUAGGGUGUGAAAUGCCAGAGCUCAACUUUGGCAUUGCGCUCUAGACUGGCAGGCUUGAGUGAGAUAGGGGUGUGCGGAACUUCCAGUGGAGCGGUGAAAUGUGUUGAUAUUGGAAGGAACGCCGGUGGCGAAAGCGGCACACUGGGUCUUAACUGACGCUGAUGCACGAAAGCCAGGGGAGCGAACGGG